RNAcentral lists this long non-coding RNA (1418 nucleotides) under Bos indicus x Bos taurus (hybrid cattle). RNAcentral's name for it is "lncRNA (ENSBIXG00005012785.1)". The record is from RNAcentral. Lineage: Eukaryota; Metazoa; Chordata; Mammalia; Artiodactyla; Bovidae.
CAGGAAACUUCCUGACACAUCACUCCUUCUGAUCAUCCUGACCUAGUAUAGCUGGAAGAGUUUAUUUCCUGUGGCACUUAAUUCACAUUUAAGUCAUAUUCUUUUAUUUUUCAAUGCAGGUACAAUGUCAACCAUGAAAUUUGUUUGCAGAAUUAGAGCUGAUGGAUAUGUUGUACUUCUUUCAAAGGUUAUCCAAAGUCCAGUGUCAUCUAAUAUCAGAACACCAAGCUCUUAUCCAAUUUCUGCUUCUCCUGUCCCACAGCUUGGGCCUGACACAGGCUUGAAAGUCUACAGUGGGCAAGAAGUAUGGGCAGGGUUGCCAAAUAAAAUACGGAACGCCCAGCUAAAUGUGAAUUCCAGAAAACAACAAAUGCUUUUAGUAGAAUUACAUCCCAAAUAUUGCAUAGGAUAUACUUAGACUAAAAAAAGCAUUCAUUGUUUAUCUAAAAUUCAAAUUUAACUGGGCAUCCCGUACUUUUAUUUGCUAAAUCUGGCAACGCCAAGUAGAAGGUCAACAUCACUUUAUUCCAUCUUGCUCACUGAUGCUGCCUCUGGCUCCUCUGGGGUUAGAUGAAGACACAGAAAGGGUAAAAUGAAGGGGAAGAAGAGCUCUUGGCGUGCAGAGUUGUCAUCUGCCACAAGUACGCUCUUUGUACGUUAAUAUGCCCAAGGUUGGUUCAUGGGAGAACCUUCAUCACUGGGAUGUUUUUGCUAUACUUUCCUUGACCUAGAAGAUGCCUUAUUUGGCUGACCGCUGACAGCUGUCCACUCAACACCUGGUUUCUGCCUGUCCACUCUGUUGGAGUCAUUUUUCAUCUCUCCUGAUGGUACUGUUGGGUUGAGGACUUUUGAAGACAUACCUAUUGACAGCUCUCUUGCACAGAAUCUGAUCUGGCCCACUGAAAACCAGAUCUCUGUUCCACCAGUCCCUGGAAAUGCUGGCCAACCUUGACUCUUUGUCCUGCUACCAGACAGACGGCUCUAGCCAGCUUCUGGUGUCAGAUUUUUUUUUCAGGUGUCAGUCAUCAAGUAUGUGACUGUUCCUGCAAAUGAUCAGUCUCUCUGAGGUUCCUUGUGAAGUCCCCCUUACUCAAUUCCGGAUAAGUGGAAGAAGAUGUCCUCUCCUCCAGCACGAGUGAUGGGGCAGGAAAAACAGCACUCUGCUGACUCUCCCCAAAGCAAUGCCCAACAGAGGCUCCUUCAGUUUCUUGGUUAAUUCUUAAGACUGGAGGUAGUUAGUGGUGAAGACUGGAAGAAUCACUUUGGGGCUACCCCAUUUGCAAGCAGUGCAUGGAUUUGUAGAAUCUCUAUUUACAAAGUAGGGGGAGCUUUGUACCUUUUGUUCUCAAGUUUGGAGUCUCAACUGAAUUUCAGAGACUUAAGUCAAUUUUGACAAUGUAUGACAUAACUAAAAUGGU